Molecule: non-coding RNA, 72 nt
Organism: Aphelenchus avenae
Lineage: Eukaryota; Metazoa; Nematoda; Chromadorea; Rhabditida; Aphelenchidae
Source: the annotation of a GenBank genome assembly
GGUUCCAUGGUGUAGCGAUUAGCACUCAAAGACUCUGAAUGCUGCGACCGAGUUGAAAUCUCGGUGGAAACU